RNAcentral lists this ribosomal RNA (252 nucleotides) under uncultured bacterium. Its description in RNAcentral is "partial 16S ribosomal RNA". It matches the Rfam family "Bacterial small subunit ribosomal RNA", at positions 524 to 776 of the family's 1533-position model. The record is from RNAcentral.
UACGGGGGGGCAAGCGUUGUUCGGAAUUACUGGGCGUAAAGGGCUCGUAGGCGGCCAACUAAGUCGGACGUGAAAUCCCUCGGCUUAACCGGGGAACUGCGUCCGAUACUGGAUGGCUUGAAUCCGGGAGAGGGAUGCGGAAUUCCAGGUGUAGCGGUGAAAUGCGUAGAUAUCUGGAGGAACACCGGUGGCGAAGGCGGCAUCCUGGACCGGUAUUGACGCUGAGGCGCGAAAGCCAGGGGAGCAAACGGG